GUCUAUGGACAUAGCACCCUGAAUGCUCCAGAUCUCAUCUGAUCUGGGAAGCUAAGCAGGGUUGGGCCUGGUUAGUACCUGGAUGGGAGAAAAGCAAAGAAGAUGUCCUGCUAGGCA
Molecule: ribosomal RNA, 117 nt
Filed under: Prolemur simus (greater bamboo lemur)
Lineage: Eukaryota; Metazoa; Chordata; Mammalia; Primates; Lemuridae
Source: RNAcentral